This 1030-nucleotide ribosomal RNA is filed under the name Paracremonium variiforme. RNAcentral describes it as "SSU rRNA". It matches the Rfam family "Eukaryotic small subunit ribosomal RNA", at positions 71 to 1111 of the family's 1831-position model. The record is from RNAcentral. Lineage: Eukaryota; Fungi; Ascomycota; Sordariomycetes; Hypocreales; Nectriaceae.
GCAUUAUACCGCGAAACUGCGAAUGGCUCAUUAUAUAAGUUAUCGUUUAUUUGAUAGUACCUUACUACUUGGAUAACCGUGGUAAUUCUAGAGCUAAUACAUGCUAAAAAUCCCGACUUCGGAAGGGAUGUAUUUAUUAGAUUAAAAACCAAUGCCCUCCGGGGCUCUCUGGUGAUUCAUGAUAACUUCUCGAAUCGCAUGGCCUUGCGCCGGCGAUGGUUCAUUCAAAUUUCUUCCCUAUCAACUUUCGAUGUUUGGGUAUUGGCCAAACAUGGUUGCAACGGGUAACGGAGGGUUAGGGCUCGACCCCGGAGAAGGAGCCUGAGAAACGGCUACUACAUCCAAGGAAGGCAGCAGGCGCGCAAAUUACCCAAUCCCGACACGGGGAGGUAGUGACAAUAAAUACUGAUACAGGGCUCAUUUGGGUCUUGUAAUUGGAAUGAGUACAAUUUAAAUCCCUUAACGAGGAACAAUUGGAGGGCAAGUCUGGUGCCAGCAGCCGCGGUAAUUCCAGCUCCAAUAGCGUAUAUUAAAGUUGUUGUGGUUAAAAAGCUCGUAGUUGAACCUUGGGCCUGGCUGGCCGGUCCGCCUCACCGCGUGUACUGGUCCGGCCGGGCCUUUCCCUCUGUGGAACCCCAUGCCCUUCACUGGGUGUGGCGGGGAAACAGGACUUUUACUUUGAAAAAAUUAGAGUGCUCCAGGCAGGCCUAUGCUCGAAUACAUUAGCAUGGAAUAAUAAAAUAGGACGUGUGGUUCUAUUUUGUUGGUUUCUAGGACCGCCGUAAUGAUUAAUAGGGACAGUCGGGGGCAUCAGUAUUCAAUUGUCAGAGGUGAAAUUCUUGGAUUUAUUGAAGACUAACUACUGCGAAAGCAUUUGCCAAGGAUGUUUUCAUUAAUCAGGAACGAAAGUUAGGGGAUCGAAGACGAUCAGAUACCGUCGUAGUCUUAACCAUAAACUAUGCCGACUAGGGAUCGGACGAUGUUAUAAUUUGACUCGUUCGGCACCUUACGAGAAAUCAAAGUGCUUGGG